Molecule: long non-coding RNA, 1261 nt
Organism: Monomorium pharaonis (pharaoh ant)
Lineage: Eukaryota; Metazoa; Arthropoda; Insecta; Hymenoptera; Formicidae
Exons: 2
Source: RefSeq, a predicted model, not a curated record
CGUUUAUAUCUCCUCCUCCUCCCUCCUGAUAGAUUCUUUAUAUCUCGCGAUAUCGGCUGUAUUUAACGAGAGAACGCGCACACGUGACGCGCGCACGUGAUGCUGCAUAUUCAUAAGUCGCGAGCCUCGUAGCGCAAUAGUUCCGCGAGCGACUCCGACACGCGCGCAGAGUAAAUUCCUCGAGCGUAAUGUACGAUAAUGCCAAUAAUGCACAACCGCGAGCGGGCGAGGGAACGAACGAACGAACGAACGAACGAACGGACGGACGGACGGUCGGCUCCUCUCUCUUUCGCGAUUGCAUCCACCGCGCGCCCGAGGUGCUUGCCGCUCGACGUUUAGAGGCUCGGUUCUUCAUCCGUUAAGUCGCAAUUUCCUUCGAGCGUAGAUUUAAGCGUAUCUUGUCGUCUUAAAACCUGGCUGUGCCUAAAAGUGUUCCCCUUCUCCUUCCACCCUUCCCGCGAGACAACGUAUCCAGACAGAUCAUUAUCCGCAGAUGUCUCAAUUCGUUCACCGUCCGAGAUCUCGGGGUGAUUUCUAGCGUCGUGGGUGCAAGGCUUUGGAGUUUAAAUCGACCGAUUGUAAAUCCCAUGUUCUCCCAAUGAUGACCACACUACUCUUCCUGGAAGCGCCAUCCGUCCCGCGGUUGUGACCGCGAGCUCCUUGUCAUCCGACACGUACGUGUCGCUCUCUUCCGCGCAGCGCGGCACGGAAACGCGUGCACGCGCGACGCGCAGCGGGGAGAGAGUUACGAGCACGGUGAUUGCGAGCACGUGGGCGAUUCAUUAAUAUCGUGUCGCCCGCGAGACCGUGCAACGUUGUAGUUACAAUGCGGCCGGGAGAGACUGCAGUUGGUUAAACGGAAUAGGGAGGUGUGUGUGUGUGUAUGUGUGUGUGUAUUUGUGUGUAUAUUAUAUGUAUAGUAUAUGAGUCGCAGUGUCGGCGGACGAAGACUGCGGUUAACGACAAUUGACUGGAACAUGUGCCCGGUGUAUUGAUUACCGCGGCUGGUGGUGCCUCGUUAAAGAGUUUUUCUCAUAAACGCGCCGCUUUAAACAUACAAUUGACUACUUGCUGCCUGAGAAACACGCACUAUCGCAAAAAAAAAACCUUUAUCGUUUUCCCAGAAAAUUAUCCUACGGAUGAUAUAUUCUUGACAAUUAAUAAUAUUUUUAUAAUAUUCUGUUAUCUAAUUGUCAAACGUUAGAUCGUUAUUUCUGUAAUCCGAGAUGUAUAAAGAAAAUAAAAACGAGCGUGAAUCUAA